UACGUAGGGGGCAAGCGUUGUCCGGAUUUAUUGGGCGUAAAGAGCGUGUAGGCGGCUUGCUAAGUCUUGCGUGAAAUCUCGGGGCUCAACCCCGAGCGGUCGUGAGAAACUGGCAGGCUAGAGUGCGGGAGAGGAGAGUGGAAUUCCUGGUGUAGCGGUGAAAUGCGCAGAUAUCAGGAAGAACACCCGUGGCGAAGGCGGCUCUCUGGAACGCAACUGACGCUGAGACGCGAAAGCGUGGGGAGCAAACAGG
This 253-nucleotide ribosomal RNA is filed under the name uncultured bacterium. Its description in RNAcentral is "partial 16S ribosomal RNA". It matches the Rfam family "Bacterial small subunit ribosomal RNA", at positions 524 to 776 of the family's 1533-position model. The record is from RNAcentral.